CUAUACUGCAAGUCGAACGCGUUGGCCCAAUUGAUUGAUGGUGCUUGCACCUGAUUGAUUUUGGUCGCCAACGAGUGGCGGACGGGUGAGUAACACGUAGGUAACCUGCCCAGAAGCGGGGGACAACAUUUGGAAACAGAUGCUAAUACCGCAUAACAGCGUUGUUCGCAUGAACAACGCUUAAAAGAUGGCUUCUCGCUAUCACUUCUGGAUGGACCUGCGGUGCAUUAGCUUGUUGGUGGGGUAACGGCCUACCAAGGCGAUGAUGCAUAGCCGAGUUGAGAGACUGAUCGGCCACAAUGGGACUGAGACACGGCCCAUACUCCUACGGGAGGCAGCAGUAGGGAAUCUUCCACAAUGGGCGCAAGCCUGAUGGAGCAACACCGCGUGAGUGAAGAAGGGUUUCGGCUCGUAAAGCUCUGUUGUUAAAGAAGAACACGUAUGAGAGUAACUGUUCAUACGUUGACGGUAUUUAACCAGAAAGUCACGGCUAACUACGUGCCAGCAGCCGCGGUAAUACGUAGGUGGCAAGCGUUAUCCGGAUUUAUUGGGCGUAAAGAGAGUGCAGGCGGUUUUCUAAGUCUGAUGUGAAAGCCUUCGGCUUAACCGGAGAAGUGCAUCGGAAACUGGAUAACUUGAGUGCAGAAGAGGGUAGUGGAACUCCAUGUGUAGCGGUGGAAUGCGUAGAUAUAUGGAAGAACACCAGUGGCGAAGGCGGCUACCUGGUCUGCAACUGACGCUGAGACUCGAAAGCAUGGGUAGCGAACAGGAUUAGAUACCCUGGUAGUCCAUGCCGUAAACGAUGAGUGCUAGGUGUUGGAGGGUUUCCGCCCUUCAGUGCCGGAGCUAACGCAUUAAGCACUCCGCCUGGGGAGUACGACCGCAAGGUUGAAACUCAAAGGAAUUGACGGGGGCCCGCACAAGCGGUGGAGCAUGUGGUUUAAUUCGAAGCUACGCGAAGAACCUUACCAGGUCUUGACAUCUUGCGCCAACCCUAGAGAUAGGGCGUUUCCUUCGGGAACGCAAUGACAGGUGGUGCAUGGUCGUCGUCAGCUCGUGUCGUGAGAUGUUGGGUUAAGUCCCGCAACGAGCGCAACCCUUGUUACUAGUUGCCAGCAUUAAGUUGGGCACUCUAGUGAGACUGCCGGUGACAAACCGGAGGAAGGUGGGGACGACGUCAGAUCAUCAUGCCCCUUAUGACCUGGGCUACACACGUGCUACAAUGGACGGUACAACGAGUCGCGAACUCGCGAGGGCAAGCAAAUCUCUUAAAACCGUUCUCAGUUCGGACUGCAGGCUGCAACUCGCCUGCACGAAGUCGGAAUCGCUAGUAAUCGCGGAUCAGCAUGCCGCGGUGAAUACGUUCCCGGGCCUUGUACACACCGCCCGUCACACCAUGAGAGUUUGUAACACCCAAAGUCGGUGGGGUAACCUUUUAGGAGCCAGCCGCCUAAG
This 1455-nucleotide ribosomal RNA is filed under the name Limosilactobacillus fermentum. RNAcentral describes it as "bacterial SSU rRNA". It matches the Rfam family "Bacterial small subunit ribosomal RNA". The record is from RNAcentral. Lineage: Bacteria; Bacillati; Bacillota; Bacilli; Lactobacillales; Lactobacillaceae.